UCCUGGCGUUGCUUAGUUGAACGCUCGGGUUUGAAUGGAAAGUUCUUAGUGGGCCAUUUUUGGUAAGCAGAACUGGCGAUGUGGGAUGAACCGAACGUCGAGUUGAAGUGCCUCAAUGUACGCUCAUCAGAUCCCAUAAAAGGUGUUGGUUCAUCUAGACAGCAGGACGGUGGCCAUGGAAGUCGGAAUCCGCUAAGGAGUGUGUAACAACUCACCUGCCGAA
Molecule: ribosomal RNA, 223 nt
Filed under: Kryptoperidinium foliaceum
Lineage: Eukaryota; Dinophyceae; Peridiniales; Kryptoperidiniaceae
Description: partial Eukaryotic large subunit ribosomal RNA
Rfam family: Eukaryotic large subunit ribosomal RNA
Source: RNAcentral